RNAcentral lists this ribosomal RNA (253 nucleotides) under uncultured bacterium. RNAcentral's name for it is "partial 16S ribosomal RNA". It matches the Rfam family "Bacterial small subunit ribosomal RNA", at positions 524 to 776 of the family's 1533-position model. The record is from RNAcentral.
UACAGAGGGGGCAAGCGUUGUUCGGAAUUACUGGGCGUAAAGCGCGUGUAGGCGGCUUUGCAAGUCGGGUGUGAAAGCCCUCAGCUCAACUGAGGAAGUGCGCCCGAAACUGCAUAGCUUGAGUACCGGAGAGGAUGGUGGAAUUCCCGAAGUAGAGGUGAAAUUCGUAGAUAUCGGGAGGAACACCGGUGGCGAAGGCGACCGUCUGGACGGAUACUGACGCUGAGACGCGAAAGCGUGGGUAGCAAACAGG